Molecule: ribosomal RNA, 439 nt
Filed under: Acinetobacter sp. oral taxon C51
Lineage: Bacteria; Pseudomonadati; Pseudomonadota; Gammaproteobacteria; Moraxellales; Moraxellaceae
Description: bacterial SSU rRNA
Rfam family: Bacterial small subunit ribosomal RNA
Source: RNAcentral
AUUGAACGCUGGCGGCAGGCUUAACACAUGCAAGUCGAGCGGAGCGAGGGUGCUUGCACCUUAGCUUAGCGGCGGACGGGUGAGUAAUGCUUAGGAAUCUGCCUAUUAGUGGGGGACAACAUUCCGAAAGGGAUGCUAAUACCGCAUACGCCCUACGGGGGAAAGCAGGGGAUCUUCGGACCUUGCGCUAAUAGAUGAGCCUAAGUCGGAUUAGCUAGUUGGUGGGGUAAAGGCCUACCAAGGCGACGAUCUGUAGCGGGUCUGAGAGGAUGAUCCGCCACACUGGGACUGAGACACGGCCCAGACUCCUACGGGAGGCAGCAGUGGGGAAUAUUGGACAAUGGGGGGAACCCUGAUCCAGCCAUGCCGCGUGUGUGAAGAAGGCCUUUUGGUUGUAAAGCACUUUAAGCGAGGAGGAGGCGCUCUAGGAUAAUACCCU